Molecule: ribosomal RNA, 492 nt
Filed under: uncultured bacterium
Lineage: Bacteria
Description: bacterial SSU rRNA
Rfam family: Bacterial small subunit ribosomal RNA
Source: RNAcentral
GAUGAACGCUGGCGGCGUGCCUCAGACAUGCAAGUCGAACGAUUAAAGCUCUCUUCGGAGAGUGCAUAGAGUGGCGCACGGGUGAGUAACACGUAAGUAAUCUACCUUCGAGUGGGGAAUAACGUCCGGAAACGGACGCUAAUACCGCAUAAUGCAGCGGCAUCGUAAGAUGACAGUUGUUAAAGAUUUAUCGCUUGAAGAGGAGCUUGCGGCAGAUUAGCUAGUUGGUAAGGUAAUGGCUUACCAAGGCUACGAUCUGUAACCGGUCUUAGAGGACGGUCGGUCACACUGACACUGAAUAACGGGUCAGACUCCUACGGGAGGCAGCAGUCGGGAAUUUUGGGCAAUGGGCGAAAGCCUGACCCAGCAACGCCGCGUGAAGGAUGAAGUAUUUCGGUAUGUAAACUUCGAAAGAAUAGGAAGAAUUAAUGACGGUACUAUUUAUAAGGUCCGGCUAACUACGUGCCAGCAGCCGCGGUAAGUCUCGCGUGA